RNAcentral lists this ribosomal RNA (896 nucleotides) under uncultured bacterium. Its description in RNAcentral is "bacterial SSU rRNA". It matches the Rfam family "Bacterial small subunit ribosomal RNA", at positions 11 to 915 of the family's 1533-position model. The record is from RNAcentral.
GUUUGAUCCUGGCUCAGGAUGAACGCUAGCGGCAGGCUUACACAUGCAAGUCGAGGGGUAUAGUUCUUCGGAGCUAGAGACCGGCGCACGGGUGCGUAACGCGUAUGCAAUCUACCUUUUACAGAGGGAUAGCCCAGAGAAAUUUGGAUUAAUACCUCAUAGUAUAGCUGUACCGCAUGGUACUACUAUUAAAGUUACAACGGUAAAAGAUGAGCAUGCGUCCCAUUAGCUAGUUGGUAAGGUAACGGCUUACCAAGGCUACGAUGGGUAGGGGUCCUGAGAGGGAGAUCCCCCACACUGGUACUGAGACACGGACCAGACUCCUACGGGAGGCAGCAGUGAGGAAUAUUGGACAAUGGGCGCAAGCCUGAUCCAGCCAUGCCGCGUGCAGGAUGACGGUCCUAUGGAUUGUAAACUGCUUUUGCACAGGAAGAAACAACGCUACGUGUAGCGUCUUGACGGUACUGUGAGAAUAAGGAUCGGCUAACUCCGUGCCAGCAGCCGCGGUAAUACGGAGGAUCCAAGCGUUAUCCGGAAUCAUUGGGUUUAAAGGGUCCGUAGGCGGUUUAGUAAGUCAGUGGUGAAAGCCCAUCGCUCAACGGUGGAACGGCCAUUGAUACUGCUAGACUUGAAUUAUUAGGAAGUAACUAGAAUAUGUAGUGUAGCGGUGAAAUGCUUAGAGAUUACAUGGAAUACCAAUUGCGAAGGCAGGUUACUACUAAUGGAUUGACGCUGAUGGACGAAAGCGUGGGUAGCGAACAGGAUUAGAUACCCUGGUAGUCCACGCCGUAAACGAUGGAUACUAGCUGUUGGGGGCAACUUCAGUGGCUAAGCGAAAGUGAUAAGUAUCCCACCUGGGAGUACGUUCGCAAGAAUGAAACUCAAAGGAAUUGACG